GAUGAACGCUAGCGGCACGCUUCAUACAUGCAAGUCGAGGGGCAGCAUAAAGUACUUGUACUUUGAUGGCGACCGGCGAACGGGUGCGUAACGCGUAUGCAACUUACCUUUUACUAGAGAAUAGCCAAGAGAAAUUUUGAUUAAUGCUCUAUACUCUUUUUAACUCACAUGAGAUUUUAAGAAAAGCUCCGGCGGUAAAAGAUGGGCAUGCGUCCUAUUAGCUUGUAGGUGAGGUAACGGCUCACCUAAGCUCCGAUAGGUAGGGGUCCUGAGAGGGAGAUCCCCCACACUGGUACUGAGACACGGACCAGACUUCUACGGAAGGCAGCAGUAAGGAAUAUUGGACAAUGGAGGAAACUCUGAUCCAGCGAUGCCGCGUGAAGGAAGACGGCCCUAUGGGUUGUAAACUUCUUUUAUACAGGAAGAAACCUUUCCACGUGUGGAAAGCUGACGGUACUGUAAGAAUAAGGAUCGGCUAACUCCGUGCCAGCAGCCGCGGUAAUACGGAGGAUCCAAGCGUUAUCCGGAAUUAUUGGGUUUAAAGGGUCCGCAGGCUGUUUGUUAAGUCAGGGGUGAAAUCCUACCGCUCAACGGUAGAACUGCCUUUGAUACUGGCAAACUUGAGUUAUUGUGAAGUAGUUAGAAUGUGUAGUGUAGCGGUGAAAUGCAUAGAUAUUACACAGAAUACCAAUUGCGAAGGCAGAUUACUAACAAUUAACUGACGCUGAGGGACGAAAGCGUGGGUAGCGAACAGGAUUAGAUACCCUGGUAGUCCACGCCGUAAACGAUGGUCACUAGCUGUUCGAUGUACAUUGGUACAUUGAGUGGCUAAGCGAAAGUGAUAAGUGACCCACCUGGGGAGUACGCUCGCAAGAGUGAAACUCAAAGGAAUCGACGGGGGCCCGCACAAGCGGUGGAGCAUGUGGUUUAAUUCGAUGAUACGCGAGGAACCUUACCAGGACUUAAAUGUAAGUUGCAUGAUUCAGAAAUGGAUCUUUCUUCGGACUACUUACAAGGUGCUGCAUGGUUGUCGUCAGCUCGUGCCGUGAGGUGUCAGGUUAAGUCCUAUAACGAGCGCAACCCCUAUCGUUAGUUGCCAUCAAGUAAAGCUGGGAACUCUAGCGAAACUGCCGGUGCAAACCGUGAGGAAGGUGGGGAUGACGUCAAAUCAUCACGGCCCUUACGUCCUGGGCCACACACGUGCUACAAUGGUCAGUACAGAAAGCAGCCACUAUGCGAAUAGGAGCUAAUCUUCAAAGCUGAUCUCAGUUCGGAUCGGAGUCUGCAACUCGACUCCGUGAAGCUGGAAUCGCUAGUAAUCGGAUAUCAGCCAUGAUCCGGUGAAAUACGUUCCCGGGCCU
This 1361-nucleotide ribosomal RNA is filed under the name uncultured bacterium. RNAcentral describes it as "bacterial SSU rRNA". It matches the Rfam family "Bacterial small subunit ribosomal RNA", at positions 28 to 1381 of the family's 1533-position model. The record is from RNAcentral.